RNAcentral lists this ribosomal RNA (207 nucleotides) under uncultured bacterium. RNAcentral's name for it is "partial 16S ribosomal RNA". It matches the Rfam family "Bacterial small subunit ribosomal RNA", at positions 568 to 774 of the family's 1533-position model. The record is from RNAcentral.
CGCGUAGGCGGCGCGAGCAGUCGGCGGUGAAAGCCCGGGGCUCAACUCCGGGUCGGCCGUCGAUACUCUCGUGCUCGAGCACUGUAGAGGCAGGUGGAAUUCCGGGUGUAGCGGUGGAAUGCGUAGAGAUCCGGAAGAACACCGGUGGCGAAGGCGGCCUGCUGGGCAGUAGCUGACGCUGAUGCGCGACAGCGUGGGGAGCAAACA